GAAUGCGUACGCAGACGAAUAUCAACAAUAUUUUUGAGGGCUCAAGGCGUUUCAAUAAUGGGAUAGAAUAUCGUCAACACCGGUUAUUUGUCAUCUUGAUAUGAAAAUGGAGACUGAAGAGGACUCGGAUGAAUGCAGAUCUAGCUUUAGUACAUCUAGCAGCGAUGAAGCAGACAGUACCUGUACGGCUGAAGAAGAUAAGGAGCAAUGUUGCUCUGUAUCCCACAAUUUACCCUGGCGUCAACAGGGCAAUAACCAGACAGAAAUGCACCGAUCUGUCAAAAAACUGGGGGCAAUCGUUACCGACGGUGAUAUAAUACCUGGACAUCAUGCACAGCCUGUUGUUUUCCAAGAGAACACAUUCAAUGUGGAGUUUCAAGGAGCUCCCAAAUAUCUUACCCUUGGAGAAGGAAACAAAAUUGAGCAGAAUAAGCGUGAUGAUAAAAAGAGCCUGGCACAAAGGAUUCGAGAUAAAACAGAAACAAAUAUUAAACAGUGUUCAAAGACAACUGUUGAUACUCAUGGCCUGUCUGAAGUCAUGGUCGCAAUUGGGAAUGGGUCAUCUCUUGUGAUUAUCACAGGAUCACAAGGUGAUGGAAAGACAACAAUCGCAAAAAGAGCCAUGUCAAAGCUGCAAGCAAAAGGGAAACAAAUAUUUCAAAUAUUCACACCAGACCAUCUCUCUGAAGUUGGUCUCUACGUCAGUGAGCCAGUCAUUAUGUUGGAUGACAUAUGUGGAAAGAUAAACUUUGAUGAAAGCAAAUGGAAAGGAUGGGAACCUGCCCUGAACAUUAUAUUUACGGAGACAGACAAAAACAGUAUCGUUCUGAUUGUUUGCAACAACUUCGUUCUUCAAGAAUGGUCGCGGUGCAUUGAGCAUUUACCUGUGAAACACGUAUCCACAGUUGAUGUAUCACAGAUUCGAAGAACAUAUCAGGAAAAGGAAAAUAUUUUGUCAGCAUUGGAACAGAAGCUUUAUAUGAAAAUUGAUCCAGAGAAACGCAGACAAAUAUGUGAAUGGGAUAGCCAUGGCUUUCCGAAAUUGUGUGAAAUGUUUCUGGAAAUGUACAAGAGUAACAGCUCUUCCCAAAUAGUGUCAGUAUUCCGACUUCCAACACCGUUAGACGAACACGAUGCCAUGCAUGUUUUGAAGCAAACGAGCAAGAGAAUGCUCUUGAAAAAGCUGCUUGAGAACCAAGGUGAAUUAGACGUAUAUCAAGAGACUUGUUCUGAACGUAGGUAUGAUCUCACAGAGACAGCUAGAAAUCUUGAUGGAAUAUACUUAUACAAGAGGGACGGUGUGUUCGAAUUCCGCUUGGAAUAUAUGCAUGACCUCGUGGCAUCAGCCUUUUGGGAACUCGACCCAAGGUUCGUCAUUGACAACUGCAAGAUGACAUUCAUAAGCAGGACAUUGCAACUGCAGUCUCAACAACCUUCUGGUACGGCCACAAAGUUCCUUUUUUAUUCCAGACUAUCUAUGCAAGUAUCUCCUGGCAAGAUUUACAACGGAAAUUUGCAAAGGCAAUAUAUAUUUGGCACUCUCACACAGAGCAUGCAGAUGGGAACCUUUCGCAAAGCAGCUGAUGACUUCUCUACUUCGCAACAACAAUUCAUCAAUGCAAAGUGUUGUCUCCCUGACGGAUGCUACUCACAAACUGACAUUUGCCUACCUAUCAACAAGCAAUGGUAGUUUUCACAUUUUGAAAAGCAUAGUUGACCACAUAGAACCAAUUACUGCUGAGCUUCUAAAGGAGGUCGUGUUUGGUAUUUGUGAUGCUGCAUCAGUUGGUGGGUUGCAAUAUCUGAAAGACAAAAAACUCGAAUUUGAUAUCAAUGUCAGAAAUGAUGAUUAUCAAACCCCUAUCAUGGUGGCUGCCAAUACGAAGGAGAGUACUUUCGUCAUGGAAGUGCUAGCAAUCAACCCUGACGUUAAUGUACUCGAUUGUGUGGGCAGGUCAGUACUUCACUACAUCUGCGAAAAUGGACUGGCAAGAGCAAUGAAACAGAUUGCAUGUGAUAUAACAGAUGUUGACAGGAAGGACAAGUCUGGACGUACAGCUCUUUCCAGUGCUUGUGAAUACGGACACAUUGACAUAGUGAAGGAACUCCUUAAGAUGGAUGCCAACAUAGACGUGCAAUCCUUGCACGAGUCUUGCAAGUCAAAGAAAGCAGACAUUCUCGGAUUGUUAUUUGCAGAAGGAGCAUCUGUUGAUGUAUUGUCGGAGGAUGGUGACACCCUUCUUCACUCGGCAUGUGAAGGAGGCAAAGAGGUGAUAGAUCUACUACUACAAAAAGGUUUACAUAUCAACAAGCCUGGCUUCAAAGGAAGAACUCCUCUUGACAAGGCAAUAGGACAGAAAAAUGAAACUAUCGCAAAAUACUUGGAAGAGAAAGGUGGUAAACGCAACGCAAAUCUGUCAUCUUAGCGUAUCCCAACAAGCUCUACCAAGUAAAGGUCUUGACAAAUCUAAGUGGUUUAUGUUGAAAUAAUUCAGUGUUAUAUCUAUAUCAAAUCAACGUAGGAAACAUCUUUUCUAUCACAAGGGAUAUUUAUUCUAUCACAAAAUCUACAAAUCUGGAUACUUGUAAUAAUGUCCAAUCUUUCCUGCCAUCGUAUGCCGUGUGGUAUAGAGUGAUGCUCAUGCUGUUGAUCACUGGAUUGUCAGGACCAGACUCGAUUAUCUGGAAUAAUAGCUGGAAUAUUGCCGAGAUCGGCGUCAAACAACAAGCAAGAAAAAUGUUUAACAUUUAGCGUUGUACAUAGUAGGAGCAGAAGUCAUGGUGGUGGUUUUGUGUUUAAACAUAUUUCACGGACAUACCAGGUCAAAUGGGAUGGCCAAAUUCCUCCAGCUGAGACGAUCCUCUCAAUAAACAUUCAUACCGAUAGAGGCCAAAUGUGUGGUUAUUGAACAUUGUCAUAAAUAACACACUAAGUGCUACACCGGGUAAUCAUUGUCUGCUGGGUGAACAGAGGCCAUUUUGAACGAACUCACUUGCCUAAGGUGAGACCACAUGUAUCACAUGUGCUUCGUUGUGGGACAGGACUGAAGAAACUCUCAGGAGUCAAGCUGCCAAUCACAGUCACCCAGUUACAAGUUAUCUACUUUCGUGUAACAUACAUACAUACAUACAUACAUACAUACAUACAUACAUACAUACAUACAUACAUACAUACAUACAUACAUACAUACAUACAUACAUACACUCAUACACACAUACAAGUGUAUGUUGCAGUAUAACUGAGUAGAACUAUUGUUUUGAAAACCAAACAGUAUAUUUUCUAUUGUGAAUUUUAUUUUGCCCUCAGCCACUGAUUUAAGCCAUAUGGUCAGCCACAUAGUAACAUUCACUAAAUACAUUAACAAUUGUUUCUGGUUCCGCUUCAAAGAAUGUACAUAGAAUUAAAUUUGUAUACCCACUUUUACACAAAAAAUACAUUUGUGGAGGAAAAUAUUGUACAACUAUCUGUGAAAUCUUAAAUAAAUAUUUUGUAAUA
This 3496-nucleotide unclassified non-coding RNA is filed under the name Haliotis rubra (blacklip abalone). RNAcentral describes it as "uncharacterized LOC124289659, transcript variant X4". Lineage: Eukaryota; Metazoa; Mollusca; Gastropoda; Lepetellida; Haliotidae. The record is from RNAcentral.